CCUACGGGAGGCUGCAGUGAGGAAUAUUGGUCAAUGGACGAGAGUCUGAACCAGCCAAGUAGCGUGAAGGAUGACUGCCCUAUGGGUUGUAAACUUCUUUUAUAUGGGAAUAAAACGUUCCACGUGUGGGAUUUUGUAUGUACCAUAUGAAUAAGGAUCGGCUAACUCCGUGCCAGCAGCCGCGGUAAUACGGAGGAUCCGAGCGUUAUCCGGAUUUAUUGGGUUUAAAGGGAGCGUAGGUGGAUUGUUAAGUCAGUUGUGAAAGUUUGCGGCUCAACCGUAAAAUUGCAGUUGAAACUGGCAGUCUUGAGUACAGUAGAGGUGGGCGGAAUUCGUGGUGUAGCGGUGAAAUGCUUAGAUAUCACGAAGAACUCCGAUUGCGAAGGCAGUUCACUGAACUGCAACUGACACUGAGGCUCGAAAGUGUGGGUAUCAAACAGGAUUAGAUACCCUAGUAGUC
Molecule: ribosomal RNA, 460 nt
Filed under: uncultured bacterium
Lineage: Bacteria
Description: partial 16S ribosomal RNA
Rfam family: Bacterial small subunit ribosomal RNA
Source: RNAcentral